Molecule: ribosomal RNA, 200 nt
Filed under: uncultured bacterium
Lineage: Bacteria
Description: partial 16S ribosomal RNA
Rfam family: Bacterial small subunit ribosomal RNA
Source: RNAcentral
AGAGUUUGAUCCUGGCUCAGGAUAAACGCUGGCGGCAUGCCUAAUACAUGCAAGUCGAACGAGAUUAAGCGGAAGAGCAAUCAGAAGCUUAUGAAAGUGGCGGACGGGUGAGUAACGCGUGAACAAUCUACCGUGUGCAGGGGAAUAGCCCCGAGAAAUUGGGAAUAAAACCGCAUAAGACCACAGUAUCGCAUGAUACA